RNAcentral lists this long non-coding RNA (2799 nucleotides) under Phaseolus vulgaris (common bean). RNAcentral describes it as "long non-coding RNA (PVUL_LNC001315)". The record is from RNAcentral. Lineage: Eukaryota; Viridiplantae; Streptophyta; Magnoliopsida; Fabales; Fabaceae.
ACACAUCAUAUAUUUCAAACUUCAAUAAUCAAACGAGAACUAUAUUCAAAUUUAUGUUUUUUAAUCCUCAUCGAAAUCAUGCUGAAAAGGAACCAACACAAGCACAUUAACUGUGACAUAUGAUAGAUCUCUGACAUAAAAUAAAUAGCCAUAAUCAAACUCAAGUAGACAUCUGUCAUCAAAGAGCAAAUCACGAAAUAAAGACAAAAAAAUAUAGGGAUAACAAAACCUAACGCAUCAAGAAUCUCCAUCCAGUAUUUAGAUAUCCUACCUCACAUCCGUUGUACACUUUGAAGAUUUAUCCUCAACCAAUCUUACAUGCAAAAAAGGUAUGAACACAGAGAAAUCAACACCUAGACAUAAAAAAUUUAAGAACAAUAUUUAAAUUCAAAUAGAUAUCAGUAAUAAAAACCAAGAAUUUAAGAAAGGAUAAGAUAAAUUAAUGAAUUCAAAAACCAAUGGAGCCUUAGUUGCUCAUAACAGGCUCGAUGAGAUACAGGUCAUCACACAAAACUAAACCAAAUCCUGCUGCAGAGAAACAAAUCACAAUUCAAAUCUUAAUGUUCGGUGAUCAACUCCAACUCAACACAGAAGAAAGGUUAUCCCAAGUUGUAAGUCUUCCUAAUCUUAUGAUUUUUAAUACUUUAAUUUUCAGAAAUAAAAUAAUAAUCCCAACUUGUUAACCGUUUUAAUAAAUAGCAUCAAGCAAGAAUCAACAUUAAAGAAAAAGUUUAAGUAUAGAGACAAUAAGACAUUCAAAACAAAGACAGACAUCAACAUUCAACAAGCUCGAUAUGAAACAUAAUCCAAACAUCAAAGCACAUAAACAAAUGACAAUUUAAUCCUUAUGCUUCGUGAACAAAUGUCAAGAAAUCAAAUAAAGAGGAAACUCAUAAGAAAUUAGGUUAUCCUGAAUUAUUGGUUGUUCUAAACACUUUCAGAUUUUAAUCCUCAACCAUUCUUGCAGUCUCAACAUGCUAAAAAGAAAUGAACACAAACAAACUAAGUCGGUAAUAAAGACCAAGAAUUUAAGAAAAGAUAAGAUUAAUUAAUAAAUUCAAGAAAUUAAAAAACUAAGAAUUUAAGAAAAGAUUAGUUGAACUAUUCAAGAAUUCAAAAAUCGAUAGAGUCGCAGUUGCUCAUAAAAGGCUCGAUAAGGUCAUCACAUAAAACAAAACCAAACCCUGCUGUAGAGAAACAAAUCAAAAUUCAAAUCUUAAUGAUUCGUGAUCAACUCCAACACAAAGUUAAAUAGCCUUUCACGUUUAAUAUUCAGCUUCAUGCAGACAAUAGUGCUCAAACAAAUCUUAUUCUCCUAAAGGAUUGUUAACAAGAAGGAUAUACAAUUAAAAUCCAAAAAUACUUAUAUAAAAAAGUACCAAGAGUAAUUCUCCAAUUUGCAGAGCAACAAAGUUUUCUCAUGCUACUACUCUACCCCAAAAACCAAUGCCUUUUAGAUUGAAACAAUUCCUGAUAUGGAAAGCAAGGAAGACAACCAAAGGAAACAUUAUCCCAAGUUGUAAGACAAUUUAAACUGUUAUGAUUUUUAAUACUCAAUCGACAAAUGCUAGAAAGGGAUGAAUGCAAACAGUUCAACCAACUCCUGGAUUUGUUAGAAAAAAGUGAGCCUGACUUGUUAGCCGUUUUAAUUGUUUUAAUUCAUUGCGUCAAGCAAGAAUCAGCAUCAAAUAUAAAUAGAAGAAACAAGAGUAGCAAGAAGUCAAAUCAUCCACCACCAUUGCCUCCACGACCAAAGAAACAUUCAUAGUAUGUCUUCCCUGGAAAGACCAAGUGGAAGUAACGGAGAACAAUUAUGAUGACCUUAAGCACUCAAUAUAAAAUUGAAUAGAAAAAAAAAUACAAGAUCCCAAAUCAUGUACGUUACAAGCUAUCCCACAGUUCUAACACUAUGUUGCACACAAUAUAAAAUACAUACAAUUUGUUUCACAAUUCUAACACUAUAUUGCACACAAUAUAAAAUACAUACAAUUUAUUUCUCGAUCAAAUUCAGAAGCUCAUCAUCGGGUUAAUUAAUCUUCAGUAUGCAAAGAUGUUAGUUGUCCCAAUAUCAUGAUUGAUUCAAUAUGAAGGAGAAAUCUAAAAUAAAGACUCGGCUCGUUGCAUAGUACUAAUUAAUUAAAAUAACAUUUACACUCAGCACGCUGCAUACUACUAAUUAAUUAAAAUAACAAUUACAUGGACUUACUGUCUCAUACCUCUAAACUCUUACAGUGCAUGUUACAAUUAGGCAUGAAAUCCCACUGUACAAGCUUAUCCAGAGAAUAAUAACAAGAAAAACUAAAGUUUCACAGGAUCUCCAUGUUUCCCAAACCUAUGACACAAAUACAUUGUCUCCCUGUAAAGCACAAGAGGAAAUAAAACUAGCAACUAAAUAUAUUUAUAUAUAUAUAUACCUAGAAAAUAUCUGAUAAACACAUCAUAUAUUUCAAACUUGUACACACACAGUUAGUAGUUGGACAAUUCCUAGUCCAAAAAUCCAUAAGGCUUUUGACUCUGCCCAAGCCCUACCCUGUCAAAAAUACCAAUCAAGAAUUUUCAGGGUAAAUGAUAAGAGAUCACCAAAUCAUGUUGUUGGUACUUGAACAAUGAAUAGAGAAUUGAUCACACCAAAAUUUCAUUCGGCCUUUUGCAAAUGAAUAAAUUUUUUAACAGUUCACUGCAAGACAAUUAAGAGAAUAGGUCCCCUGAAAUGAUAUUAUUGACCAAGAUUUUCAUUUAAUCACCUCUGAAAUUACUGAUCCUCUGAAACUCUUGUAAAGCCUGUUACCAACACCCAUA